CUGCACGCGUGCUACACUGGAGUCCGCAACGUGUUCCAUGGCCGAAGGGUCAUUGGUAAACCGUUUAAACGACUCCGUGAUCGGGAUAGGGAAUUGCAAUUAUUUCCCUUCAACGAGGAAUUCCUAGUAAGUGCGAGUCAUCAACUUGCUCUAAUUAUGU
RNAcentral lists this ribosomal RNA (160 nucleotides) under Rhabditidae environmental sample. Its description in RNAcentral is "partial 18S ribosomal RNA". It matches the Rfam family "Eukaryotic small subunit ribosomal RNA", at positions 1487 to 1650 of the family's 1831-position model. Lineage: Eukaryota; Metazoa; Nematoda; Chromadorea; Rhabditida; Rhabditidae. The record is from RNAcentral.